AUAUAUAUAUAUACACACACACACACACACACACACACACACAUAUAUGUGUGUGUGUGUAUAUAUAUAUUU
Podarcis lilfordi (Lilford's wall lizard) is the source of this 72-nucleotide non-coding RNA. NCBI's taxonomy places the organism in Eukaryota, Metazoa, Chordata, Lepidosauria, Squamata, Lacertidae. The record is from the annotation of a GenBank genome assembly.